UGUGCGGUAGCAAAAUGGCAAUGCCUCCGACUGUUAAUCGGAUGAGUGCAGGUUCGAAUCCUGCCCGCACAG
This 72-nucleotide transfer RNA is filed under the name Candidatus Zhuqueibacterota bacterium. RNAcentral's name for it is "candidate division KSB1 bacterium (marine metagenome) tRNA-Asn". It matches the Rfam family "tRNA". From Rfam's summary of the family: Transfer RNA (tRNA) molecules are approximately 80 nucleotides in length. Their secondary structure includes four short double-helical elements and three loops (D, anti-codon, and T loops). The record is from RNAcentral. Lineage: Bacteria; Pseudomonadati.